ACAAGAUAUAUAAUAGUAAAAGAAUACACAUAGGAGCAUACCACCAUUCAAUGAGGUAGCCCUCAGAUAGAUGCUAGGCAGGUGCUCACUGCUCAGACAGACUGAACAACUUUGUGAAGAUAGAACCCCUCCUAUCUUCACGAAUACUCUUAUCUUAUCACAACUACAUCCAUACAUCCGUUCCUUCCCAUCUCAAAACCAGCCAUACACCCACCCCACCCACAGUGAACAGAAGACGUAAUGACACUGCAAUAAGAGGAAGAGAGGAGAGACGAGGAGAAGGGAGGCUGGUUGGGUAAUGCUGGGAGGCUUCAAUAAAAUGUAAUCCUAUUAUGUUUCCCACUAGAGGGCAACAAUAAUAAAGGUUUCCCUAAUAACACGGCAGUGCAGGCCAGACCCAAAUGGAAAACAGGUCCUCCGGUGAAGUCCCAUAGUCCUACAUAUAUCGUCUCAUUAGCUAAAUGGCUGAUGGGCCACGUUUCACCUCUGAGGCCUCCAAGAUUUGGCCGUAGUAAAGGCAAUGGAAGAGUUAAGCCAAACAAAUGUGUUUCAUCAAACUAGAGUUUGGGCUGUUCUGCAUAGAGGGAAUGGGGGAUAAAGGAGGAAGGGAUGAGGGGGAGAAGGAGUGAGGGAAUGUGGGGGUGGGAACUGAGAGAAACCAAGCCCUGAGGAAACCAAUCAGAGCUUCUCCACCCUCUUCCUGUCGCUAAGCCACCGGGGUCUCAGGUGUGCACUACACAGGCUAAUAGCGCUUAAACUUGAUUGUUUGUGUGUUAGUGUAGUCUGGGUUUUGUAAAUUACCAUUUUGGAAAAUGAAAGUCCAAUCACUGACAAAUCAACAAAAUUGCAAUUCAAGAGAGGUACAACAACACAACAACAAGGAUAACUGUAGCAAAACUGUAAGGAUAACGUAUCUCGUUAUGAUCAUUCUGUAAGUUGCUGUAUGAGCUACAAGAUUAACAUCAGAUGUACUCUCUGUACUAGACAUGUGAGGUGUACUCUGUAUCCUAGACAUGUGAGGUGUACUUUUUAUGCUAGACCAUGUGAAGUGUACUCUCCAUGGGCAGAUUGGCCAUCUGGCAAUUCUGGCAAAUGCCAGAUGGGCAGGACCAUGUUUUUGUUUGGGGAGUCUGUGUAUUUUAAUUGUUUUAUCAACAUUUAUUCGAUUCUGAAUCUCAGUCUCUUCAGCCUGCGAGUGGGUCUUAGUUUAUGAGCUGUAGUAACGAAUGACUCUGGUGUCGGAUUACAUUACAUAGCCACUGCCACUGGAGGCUGGAUAGUCCCACCAAUUUCCCACUUAUUUCAUUUGCUGAAAGGCCUGUCACUUCUCUGCAGCAAGAUAUGCAUACUGUCAAACGUAGCACAACGCUGGAAAUCUAUCCACAUCAACUAGUGCCAGCAUCGUUCUAUGACAAACACAGAAGGCUUUAUAUUGAAUUCAAUAGAACAGAGAAAGAGGGAGAGAGAGAGACUGCCAGUUCCUUAAUGUAGCCAUUGGCUGUAUUAUACAACCAAAACAUUAAGGAACUGGCCGUCUCUCUCUUCUCUCUCUGUUUUUAUUAUAUUUUCAUUAUAUGUAGCCUAAUAUUUAAACACUUAGCUAAGUGGGCAGGGGGGAACACAUGACAUGCACUAAUUUGAAAUACACUCACCGGCCAGUCUAGUACCGGGUCGGAUCCCCCUUUGUCUCCAGAACAUCCUGAAUUAUUCGGGGUAUUCUACAAGGUCUCGGAAAAGUUCCACAGGGAUGUUGGUCCAUGCUGAUGUGAUGGCAUCACACAGUUGCUGCAGAUUGGAUGGUGGUACUGUCUGGAUGUUGCUGGGCCCAGCAAAGGCAGUGUGGUCCCCUGGUCUUCUGGUAUCAGUGCUGUGGGAAAGGAUGCUAGGCUUAGCAGAGACAGCUCAGAGGAGUGACAGACAGACAGACAACAGAGGAGAACAAGGAAAAGCACAGACAGAGUGACACCAGAGAAGAUGCAGAGACAGACUGCACAACAGGGAGGCAACAGCGGCACAGUUACAGUGACAGAGAAUCAGACAGAGAGAGGGAGGUAGAGAAAGAGAGAUAGAGAGAGAGAGGGAGUGUGUCGCAUUCCUUCCUGUACCACCCUCCAACCCCAGAGCUGCAGACUCAAGGCGGUUUCCAGAAUCAAACAAUUUCACGCAGCUACUGGAGGAGGAAAUGAACUGAGC
Molecule: non-coding RNA, 2193 nt
Organism: Salmo salar (Atlantic salmon)
Lineage: Eukaryota; Metazoa; Chordata; Actinopteri; Salmoniformes; Salmonidae
Source: RefSeq, a predicted model, not a curated record